This 717-nucleotide ribosomal RNA is filed under the name uncultured bacterium. RNAcentral's name for it is "bacterial SSU rRNA". It matches the Rfam family "Bacterial small subunit ribosomal RNA", at positions 8 to 705 of the family's 1533-position model. The record is from RNAcentral.
AGAGUUUGAUCCUGGCUCAGAACGAACGCUGGCGGCGUGGAUAAGACAUGCAAGUCGAACGGGACUUCAUUUGUAGCAAUGCACGUGAAGUUCAGUGGCGCAAGGGUGCGUAACACGUGGGCAAUCUGCCGAGAUGUGGGGGAUAGCUCGCCGAAAGGCGAAUUAAUACCGCAUGUGGUUAGUGCUGGAUUCAGCGCGACACCAAAGCCGGGGCAACCUGGUGCAUCUUGAUGAGCCCGCGGCCUAUCAGCUAGUUGGUGAGGUAACGGCUCACCAAGGCUAUGACGGGUAGCUGGUCUGAGAGGACGACCAGCCACACUGGAGCUGAGACACGGUCCAGACACCUACGGGUGGCAGCAGUCGAGAAUUUUUCUCAAUGGGGGAAACCCUGAAGGAGCGACGCCGCGUGGAGGAUGAAGGUCUUCGGAUUGUAAACUCCUGUCAUUUGGGAACAAUUGUUGGCGAUUAACUGUCGUCAGCUUGAUAGUACCAGAAGAGGAAGAGACGGCUAACUCUGUGCCAGCAGCCGCGGUAAUACAGAGGUCUCAAGCGUUGUUCGGAUUCAUUGGGCGUAAAGGGUGCGUAGGUGGCGAGGUAAGUCAGGUGUGAAAUCUCGGGGCUCAACCCCGAAACUGCACUUGAUACUGCCUUGCUGGAGUACUGGAGAGGAGAUUGGAAUUUACGGUGUAGCAGUGAAAUGCGUAGAUAUCGUAAGGA